CCUGGCGACCAUAGCGACUGUGAACCACCUGAUCCCAUCUCGAACUCAGUAGUGAAACCGGUCUGCGCCGAUGAUAGUGUGGCAGUAGCCAUGUGAAAGUAGGUCAUUGCCAGGCACCUAAUGCAACAGCCCUCGUCAGAAAUGACGGGGGCUUUUUGCUGUCUGGGGUUUGGAAA
This 176-nucleotide ribosomal RNA is filed under the name Paraperlucidibaca baekdonensis. The record is from RNAcentral. Lineage: Bacteria; Pseudomonadati; Pseudomonadota; Gammaproteobacteria; Moraxellales; Moraxellaceae.